Molecule: unclassified non-coding RNA, 233 nt
Filed under: plant metagenome
Description: partial contains small subunit ribosomal RNA, internal transcribed spacer 1, and 5.8S ribosomal RNA
Source: RNAcentral
UUUCCGUAGGUGAACCUGCGGAAGGAUCAUUAUUGGAUUUUGAAACUUCAGGCUGCUGCUGGCUCUCCUCGGAGGGCAUGUGCACGCUUGUUGUCCAUUAUUUCUCCCACUGUGCACAAAUUGUAGACCUUUCAGUAGGCCUAUGUUGUUUUUCACAAUCCCUGAAUGUAAUAGAAUGGUUUUGAAUCUUGGGAAAUACAAUACAACUUUCAGCAACGGAUCUCUUGGCUCUC